UAAGGAAUAUUGGUCAAUGGACGCAAGUCUGAACCAGCCAUGCCGCGUGAAGGAUGAAGGUCCUCUGGAUUGUAAACUUCUUUUAUAUGGGAAGAAAUGUUCUGAUUCUUCAGAGCUUGACGGUACCAUAGGAAUAAGCACCGGCUAACUCCGUGCCAGCAGCCGCGGUAAUACGGAGGGUGCAAGCGUUAUCCGGAUUCACUGGGUUUAAAGGGUGCGUAGGAGGGCAGAUAAGUCAGUGGUGAAAUCUUCCGGCUUAACCGGAAAAUUGCCGUUGNUACUACUUGUCUUGAAUAUUGUGGAGGUAAGCGGAAUAUGUCAUGUAGCGGUGAAAUGCUUAGAUAUGACAUAGAACACCAAUUGCGAAGGCAGCUUACUAUAUAAUUAUUGACACUGAGGCACGAAAUCGUGGGUAGCGAACA
This 422-nucleotide ribosomal RNA is filed under the name uncultured bacterium. Its description in RNAcentral is "bacterial SSU rRNA". It matches the Rfam family "Bacterial small subunit ribosomal RNA", at positions 355 to 774 of the family's 1533-position model. The record is from RNAcentral.